AAUCAACGCUGGCGGCGUGCCUCAGACAUGCAAGUCGAACGAUUAAAGCUCUCUUCGGAGAGUGUAUAGAGUGGCGCACGGGUGAGUAACACGUAAGUAAUCUACCCUCGAGUGGGGAAUAACGUUCGGAACGAACGCUAAUACCGCAUAAUGCAGCGGCACCGCAAGGUGACAGUUGUUAAAGGAGCAAUUCGCUUGAGGAGGAGCUUGCGGCAGAUUAGCUUGUUGGUAAGGUAACGGCUUACCAAGGCUACGAUCUGUAUCCGGUCUUAGAGGACGGUCGGACACACUGACACUGAAUAACGGGUC
This 309-nucleotide ribosomal RNA is filed under the name uncultured bacterium. RNAcentral's name for it is "bacterial SSU rRNA". It matches the Rfam family "Bacterial small subunit ribosomal RNA", at positions 32 to 332 of the family's 1533-position model. The record is from RNAcentral.